This 776-nucleotide ribosomal RNA is filed under the name Pantoea ananatis. RNAcentral's name for it is "bacterial SSU rRNA". It matches the Rfam family "Bacterial small subunit ribosomal RNA", at positions 36 to 797 of the family's 1533-position model. The record is from RNAcentral. Lineage: Bacteria; Pseudomonadati; Pseudomonadota; Gammaproteobacteria; Enterobacterales; Erwiniaceae.
CCGAUACUAAGGACUACCAUGCAGUCGGACGGUAGCAAGCAGAAGCGAGCUUGCUCCUUCGCGUGACGAGUGGCGGACGGGUGAGUAAUGUCUGGGAAACUGCCCGAUGGAGGGGGAUAACUACUGGAAACGGUAGCUAAUACCGCAUAACGUCGCAAGACCAAAGUGGGGGACCUUCGGGCCUCUUGCCAUCGGAUGUGCCCAGAUGGGAUUAGCUAGUAGGUGGGGUAACGGCUCACCUAGGCGACGAUCCCUAGCUGGUCUGAGAGGAUGACCAGCCACACUGGAACUGAGACACGGUCCAGACUCCUACGGGAGGCAGCAGUGGGGAAUAUUGCACAAUGGGCGCAAGCCUGAUGCAGCCAUGCCGCGUGUAUGAAGAAGGCCUUCGGGUUGUAAAGUACUUUCAGCGGGGAGGAAGGCGGUGAGGUUAAUAACCUUGCCGAUUGACGUUACCCGCAGAAGAAGCACCGGCUAACUCCGUGCCAGCAGCCGCGGUAAUACGGAGGGUGCAAGCGUUAAUCGGAAUUACUGGGCGUAAAGCGCACGCAGGCGGUCUGUCAAGUCAGAUGUGAAAUCCCCGGGCUCAACCUGGGAACUGCAUCUGAAACUGGCAGGCUUGAGUCUCGUAGAGGGGGGUAGAAUUCCAGGUGUAGCGGUGAAAUGCGUAGAGAUCUGGAGGAAUACCGGUGGCGAAGGCGGCCCCCUGGACGAAGACUGACGCUCAGGUGCGAAAGCGUGGGGAGCAAACAGGAUUAGAUACUUUUGGUAGUCCU